UCCCUGGUGGUCAAGUGGCUAAGGAUCCUGUGCUCUCACCACCGCAGCCCGGGUUUGAUUCCUGGGUAGGGAA
This 73-nucleotide transfer RNA is filed under the name Pangasianodon gigas (Mekong giant catfish). RNAcentral's name for it is "tRNA-Glu". The record is from RNAcentral. Lineage: Eukaryota; Metazoa; Chordata; Actinopteri; Siluriformes; Pangasiidae.